UACCGUGAAACUGCGAAUGGCUCAUUAAAUCAGUUAUCGUUUAUUUGAUAGUACCUUACUACUUGGAUAACCGUGGUAAUUCUAGAGCUAAUACAUGCUAAAAACCCCGACUUCGGGAGGGGUGUAUUUAUUAGAUAAAAAACCAACGCCCUUCGGGGCUCCUUGGUGAAUCAUAAUAACUUAACGGAUCGCAUGGCCUUGCGCCGGCGACGGUUCAUUCAAAUUUCUGCCCUAUCAACUUUCGAUUGUAGGGUAUUGGCCUACAAUGGUAUCAACGGGUAACGGGGAAUUAGGGUUCGAUUCCGGAGAGGGAGCCUGAGAAACGGCUACCACAUCCAAGGAAGGCAGCAGGCGCGCAAAUUACCCAAUCCCGACACGGGGAGGUAGUGACAAUAAAUACUGAUACAGGGCUCUUUUGGGUCUUGUAAUUGGAAUGAGUACAAUUUAAAUCCCUUAACGAGGAACAAUUGGAGGGCAAGUCUGGUGCCAGCAGCCGCGGUAAUUCCAGCUCCAAUAGCGUAUAUUAAAGUUGUUGCAGUUAAAAAGCUCGUAGUUGAACCUUGGGCCUGGCUGGCCGGUCCGCCUCACCGCGUGCACUGGUCCGGCCGGGCCUUUCCUUCUGGAGAGCCGCAUGCCCUUCACUGGGUGUGUCGGGGAACCAGGACUUUUACUUUGAAAAAAUUAGAGUGUUCAAAGCAGGCCUUUGCUCGAAUACAUUAGCAUGGAAUAAUAGAAUAGGACGUGCGGUUCUAUUUUGUUGGUUUCUAGGACCGCCGUAAUGAUUAAUAGGGAUAGUCGGGGGCAUCAGUAUUCAAUUGUCAGAGGUGAAAUUCUUGGAUU
This 840-nucleotide ribosomal RNA is filed under the name Rhytidhysteron coffeae. Its description in RNAcentral is "SSU rRNA". It matches the Rfam family "Eukaryotic small subunit ribosomal RNA", at positions 77 to 926 of the family's 1831-position model. The record is from RNAcentral. Lineage: Eukaryota; Fungi; Ascomycota; Dothideomycetes; Hysteriales; Hysteriaceae.